This 449-nucleotide ribosomal RNA is filed under the name uncultured bacterium. RNAcentral describes it as "partial 16S ribosomal RNA". It matches the Rfam family "Bacterial small subunit ribosomal RNA", at positions 29 to 523 of the family's 1533-position model. The record is from RNAcentral.
AGCGAACGCUGGCGGCAGGCUUCACACAUGCAAGUCGAACGCCAUCUUCGGAUGGAGUGGCAGACGGGUGAGUAACGCGUGGAAACAUACCUUUUGCUUCGGAAUAUUCCCGGGAAACUGGGAGCAAUACCGAAUACGCCCUGAGGGGGAAAGAUUUAUCGGCAAAAGAUUGGUCCGCGUUAGAUUAGGUAGUUGGUAGGGUAAUGGCCUACCAAGCCUACGAUCUAUAGAUGGUCUGAGAGGAUGAUCAGCCACAUUGGGGCUGAGAUACGGCCCACACUCCUACGGGAGGCAGCAGUAGGGAAUAUUGGACAAUGGGCGAAAGCCUGAUUCAGCCAUGCCGCGUGAAUGAUGAAGGCCUUAGGGUUGUAAAAUUCUUUCACCGGGGACGAUAAUGACGGUACCCGGAGAAGAAGCCCCGUCUAACUUCGUGCCAGCCGCCGCGGUAA